GCCUGUAAAGGUCUUUGUAAGUAAAUCUUUUAUCUUGAUCUCAUCUGAUCUUGGAGGCGAGGCAGAGUUAAGCCUGGUUAGUACUUGGAUGGGAGACCACCUGGGAAUAUCAGGUGCUACAGGCU
Papio anubis (olive baboon) is the source of this 125-nucleotide non-coding RNA. The record is from Rfam. NCBI's taxonomy places the organism in Eukaryota, Metazoa, Chordata, Mammalia, Primates, Cercopithecidae.